Molecule: ribosomal RNA, 497 nt
Filed under: uncultured bacterium
Lineage: Bacteria
Description: partial 16S ribosomal RNA
Rfam family: Bacterial small subunit ribosomal RNA
Source: RNAcentral
GACGAACGCUGGCGGCGUGCCUAAUACAUGCAAGUAGAACGCUGACGAGAGGAGCUUGCUCUUCUUGGAUGAGUUGCGAACGGGCGAGUAACGCGUAGGUAACCUGCCUUGUAGCGGGGGAUAACUAUUGGAAAAGAUAGCUACUACCGCCUAACACUGGCUGCCACAUAUAACAUAUUUGCUAGGGGCCAUUGCCCCACUACAAGAUGGAUCUGCGUUGUAUUAGCUAGUAGGUGAGGUAAAGGCCCACCUAGGCGACGGUACCUAGCCGACCUGAAUGGGUGGUCGGGCAAACUGGGACUGGGGAAAGGGCCAGGCUCCUUACGGAGGGAGCAGGAGGGAAACAUCGGCAAUUGGGGGAACCCUGGCCGAGCAACGCCGGGUGAGUGGAGGAAGUUUUCGGAGCGUAAAGCUCUGUUGUAAGGGAAGGACGAGUGGGAGGUUGGAAAGUUCACGCUGUGACGGUAGCUUACCAGAAAGGGACGGCUAACUACGUG